Molecule: ribosomal RNA, 368 nt
Filed under: uncultured organism
Description: bacterial SSU rRNA
Rfam family: Bacterial small subunit ribosomal RNA
Source: RNAcentral
CGGAGGUGGCAAGCGUUACUCGGAAUCAUUGGGUGUAAAGGGCAAGUAGGCGGUCUAAUAAGUGAGGGGUGAAAUCCUGCGACUCAAUCGCAGAACUGCCUUUCAAACUGCUAGACUUGAGGUAGGAAGAGGGAAGUGGAAUUUGCGGUGUAAGGGUGAAAUCUGUAGAUAUCGCAAAGAACACCAGCGGCGAAGGCGGCUUCCUGGUCCUUACCUGACGCUGAAUUGCGAAAGCUAGGGGAGCAAACAGAAUUAGAUACUCUGGUAGUCCUAGCCGUAAACGAUGAGCACUAGGUGUUGGGUCGCGAGACUCAGCGCCGUCGCUAACGCAUUAAGUGCUCCACCUGGGGACUACGAUCGCAAGGUUA